Molecule: ribosomal RNA, 477 nt
Filed under: uncultured bacterium
Lineage: Bacteria
Description: partial 16S ribosomal RNA
Rfam family: Bacterial small subunit ribosomal RNA
Source: RNAcentral
GAUCAACGCUGGCGGCGUGCAUAACACAUGCAAGUCGAACGAUGAAGAUUAAAAGAUUUCUUCGGAAUGAACUUAAUUGGAUUAGUGGCGGACGGGUGAGUAACGCGUGAGUAACCUGCCUUGUACAAGGGGAUAGCCGUUGGAAACGACGAAUAAUGCCCUAUGACAUCAAAUAAUCGCAUGAUAAUUUGAUCAAAGAUUUAUCGGUAUAAGAUGGACUCGCGUCUGAUUAGCUAGUUGGUAGAGUAAAAGCCUACCAAGGCAACGAUCAGUAGCCGGCUUGAGAGAGUGUACGGCCACAUUGGGACUGAGACACGGCCCAGACUCCUACGGGAGGCAGCAGUGGGGAAUUUUGCACAAUGGGGGAAACCCUGAUGCAGCGACGCCGCGUGAUUUAGAAGGCCUUCGGGUUGUAAAAAUCUUUUGUAUGGGAAGAAAAUGACAGUACCAUACGAAUAAGGACCGGCUAAUUACGUG